UUGGUGCCUUCGGGAACUGUGAGACAGGUGCUGCAUGGCUGUCGUCAGCUCGUGUUGUGAAAUGUUGGGUUAAGUCCCGCAACGAGCGCAACCCUUAUCCUUUGUUGCCAGCGGUCCGGCCGGGAACUCAAAGGAGACUGCCAGUGAUAAACUGGAGGAAGGUGGGGAUGACGUCAAGUCAUCAUGGCCCUUACGACCAGGGCUACACACGUGCUACAAUGGCAUAUACAAAGAGAAGCGACC
Molecule: ribosomal RNA, 243 nt
Filed under: Klebsiella pneumoniae
Lineage: Bacteria; Pseudomonadati; Pseudomonadota; Gammaproteobacteria; Enterobacterales; Enterobacteriaceae
Also listed under: 2 other names
Description: partial 16S ribosomal RNA
Rfam family: Bacterial small subunit ribosomal RNA
Source: RNAcentral